Loxodonta africana (African savanna elephant) is the source of this 1823-nucleotide long non-coding RNA. RefSeq lists it as uncharacterized. The transcript has 4 exons. The record is from RefSeq and is a predicted model, not a curated record. Lineage: Eukaryota; Metazoa; Chordata; Mammalia; Proboscidea; Elephantidae.
AUGGAAGAAGGGAUAUCACAGCUGAUGUCAUAUCGAUUCUGGCUGAAAGCAGAGAAUACCAGAAAGAUGUUUACCUGUGUAUUAUUGACUAUGCAAAGGCAUUUGACUGCUUGGGUCAUAACAAAUUAUGGAUAACAUUGCGAAGAGUGGGAAUCCCAGAACACUCAAUUGUGCUGAUGAGGAACCUGAUCAAGAGGUAGACGUUCAAACAGAAAAAGGUGAUACUACGUGGUUUAAAGUCAGGAAAGGUGUGUGUCAGGGUUGUAUCCUUUCACAAUACUUAUUUAAUCUGCAAAUAAUCUGAGAAGCUAGACUAUACGAAGAACACGACAUCAGGAUUGGAGGAAGACUCAUUAACAACCUGCAUUUUGCAGAUGACACAACCCCGCUUGCUAAAAGAUAAGAGGUCUUGAAGCACUUACUGAUGAAGAUCAAAGACCGCGGCCUUCAGUAGAGAUUGCACCUCAACAUGAAGAAAACAAAAAUCCUCACAACUGGGCCAAUGAGCAACAUCGUGAUAAACGGAGAAAAGAUUGAAGUUGUCAAGGAUUUCAUCUUAUUUGGAUCCACAAUCAACACGCAUGGACACAGCAGUUAAGAAAUCAAAAGAUGCAUUGCAUUAGGGAAACUGGCUGCAAAAGACCUCUAAAGUGUUGAAAAGCAAAGACAUCACCUUGAAAACGAAGAUGCAACUGAUCCAAGCCACAGUGUUUUCAGUGGCCUCGUAUGUGUGGGAAAGCUGGCUGAUGAAUAAGGAAGACUGUAGAAGAACUGAUGCCUUUUAAUUGUCGUAUUGGUGAAGAAUUCUGAAUACACCAUGAAUUGCCAAAAGAAUGAAAAAAUCUAUCUUGAAAGAAGUAUAACCAGAACGUACCCUAGGCUAGAAGCAAAGAUGGCCAGACUACAUCCUACAUACUUUGGACCUGUUUUCAGGAGGAAUUAGUCCAUGGAGAAGAAUAUCAUGUACUAUUUCUUUGGACUAUCUAAGACCUGAAGAACAAAAUCUCAUGGUCCAAAUUAACGUUUUUACUUACUAAUUUUCAAAUGUAGCCCUGGUGGAACAUUUGGUUAAGAGCUUGGCUGAAACUAAAAGGUCUCAACCAGCCUCUCCUUAGAAGCCCUGCUGUGCAGUUCUAUUCUGUCCAAUAGGGUCACUGUUAGUUAAAAUUUAAUCCACAGCAAUGAGUUAUUUAAUUUUCAAAUACAAAUUUGUUGUGUUAAUGUCUAAAUUCUAAAUUAAAUUUUAUUUUAUAAACUACCUGUUUUAUAAAUUUACUUUCUAUUAUUCAAAUUUAUUGUUAUGGUAGAAUCAAAUUUAAAAAGUGACAUAAUUUUAUAUCCAGGCAAAAUGAAAUGGCAAUAACUAAGUGGAGUGCAAAAAUGGAAGCCUGCAGGAGAUAAAAAGAAAAUGAUUUGUGAAUCCCUAAAGACAAUCCCCAAAUUCCUUUUUAGAAUGUAAUAAAUCAGAAGAGACUUCUUCCAUUAAAGAAGCAUUAGAAGAAACAAGUAAAUGACAGAAAUGCUCCAGAAGUAUUGAGUGCCAGGAAUCAAUUUUACAUAACCACCAUCACUGACACACUUGAAUCUUGCAUGAAAUGAAGGGCAAAAUGAAAUGGCAAUAACUAAGUGGAGUGCAAAAAUGGAAGCCUGCAGGAGAUAAAAAGAAAAUGAUUUGUGAAUCCCUAAAGACAAUCCCCAAAUUCCUUUUUAGAAUGUAAUAAAUCAGAAGAGACUUCUUCCAUUAAAGAAGCAUUAGAAGAAACAAGUAAAUGACAGAAAUGCUCCAGAAGUAUUGAGUGCCAAGAAUCAAUUUUACAUAACCA